UAGGUGGAAGCUGAAUUAGCGAGGAUGACUCCUGCUCCUGUCAUCUCUAAGCUCCUCACACAUCUUUGCCUGCACAUGAGGAAAAUCACUCCUGUAGAAUGCAGAUGUUCAGAGGGAGAUGAUGCCACAUCUGGUCCAGCUGAUGGAAGGUCUUGAAGUUCUCUGACUGGCCUCGACUGAAGAUGGUCGUCUCACUGGAUUUAAGGUUCAGAUGCUCAGUAACAAACUCCACCAAUGAGCCAACAGGGAAGCUUUAGGUUUAUUAAAUGUUGCUAUGAAGGCAUCGCUGUUUUUCUUUGUGAAUGCAAUGUGCUCCAACUGAAACUUGAAUUAGAACUUAGAAGUAAAUCCUUCCAUCCGAAAGGAUUUAGUUGCAUUAAUAACCUCAUAACAUUCUAAUUUUUAUUCCAGUCUUGGUUGAAAAUAGAAUCUCUGUAUUGAUUCAGGUAAAAACUGAACUUCACAGCAUGUUGAAGAAAAACAACCAGAUGAAAACUGUGAUGGUGUUGGAUUGUCAGACCGUAAUGUUGCAGCUCAAAGCAGCUUUUCUAGCUCAGUUCAUUCUGACAUUCAGCUAUGAAUCAACACAGCAGAUGGUGAUCCAUGCUGUGGAAGUCUCACAUCUCCUGAUUUAAUGGAGCUGCUUUACACUUUUUACACAGUUUAUUCACCAACACUUUAUUUAAUAAAAGUCCCAUCUAGUUUUUAUGAGGAAUGUGAUGUUUUAAUUUCUCUGUGAAUAACUGCAGUCUAAUGCAACAGCUGGAAUUGUAACAUCUGUCCUGAUAUUGAUCAUGAAGUAUUGAUCAGAAUACUUAUGGUCAGCAGUCAUCCCUAAAGUUUUAUAUUAAAAUCUUUACUUGUGUUGUGAACUUUGGUAAGAAGCAGAAAUGUUAGCGUUGCCAUGGAUACAAGUGUUAAAUUCUGUCCAUGUUUCCAUUUUGGGAAAUGCAGUCCAGUUCCAGAAUGUGGAGGAAUUUAGUCUCACAAUCACAGACAACAAAUAUUAUCUGAAAGUCGGGUUAUUGUUGUUUAUCAGCACAAUACAAAAAGAUUAAUGUUAGAAAUAUUCCAGUUAAGACUCUAGAAUAUCAUGAUUUAUGUAAAUAUACCUCAAUAAUAUGAAUGUUUAGGUUAAGAUUGUACAGUGAUAUUUAUUAUCUAAGUUUAGCUGAUUAAAGUUUAUGACUCUGCAAAUAAAUAAAUAAAUAAAUUGACAUCAUUAUUAUAAUAUUUAGGGUCAGACCCUACAGUAUUGAGAGUAAAAAAUCAAAUAUUCUAUAAAAUGUAAAUACACUGAACUCAUUUGGAUAUAUUUAAGUGAGACUCUACAAUAUUAUUUGACACAAAUCUAUCUAAAUCAAAAUUUUAAUAAUUUUCACGCCAAACGUUUACUGGACUGAUUUAAAUAUUAAAAUCACUCCUUUCUAAUCCUCUGCUGUACGUUCAAACCUGAGGCCUUAAAUAGAAACACACAAGUAUCUGAUUGAAGGAACUUCUGUAGAGUCCUGGUUCCAGAACAUGAUGAUAGAAUUAUAGACAAACUUUAACAAAAGCUGCCUGAGAGUUUACAGGUUUUUAUGUUAGAUUUCUUCAGUAAUUUAAUGAGAGUUAUCAGCAAAAAUCGUGUUCAUUUGAUGAACUUCAUUUCCUAAAACAUCCAGAAUUGGAGCUCAUAUCUUUGGCAGCUGUAAAGUUUCUGCUCCUUCAAAGUUCACAACACAAUGAAUAAAUUCCUAAAACACUCUCAGUGCUGGAGAGCGUUUGUGAUGCUGAAGCAGUGAUCAGUUUUUCUGUUUCUUCUCUGGAGAAGCACAAUGAGGGACGUCUGCAGAGACUGAGAAAGAGUCUCACCACAUCCUGACAUGAGGAAAAAGACUUUACUGAAGACUACAAUGAGAAAAACUAUCAGACAGCAGACGGCAUGCAUUCAAGAGAGGAAGACCAUCAAACAUCCACGUCAGCUGAUGGAGGUCCAAGAGUCUCACUGAGCAAACAACCUACAGAGUGAAGACCUCGAAUCUGAUUGGACGGCCUCCUAUUCAGCCACAUUUUAGGCUGUUAGAUUGUUCCAGAUAAGACAAGUACAAGAUUCUUCAGAGCCGUUCUACCACGAGCCUGACAGGAAGAACUCCAACAGCUACUGAAUGUUCCUGUGGUUCCCUCAAGGCUACAGGAGGAGCCCUACGAGGACGAGCCGGUCCACCUGAUGGCGGCCAGUCGCUGCGGUUCAAAGCCAACACCGACUACGUGGACUUCUACUGGACCACACGGAGGCCUUCAAACCGGACCAACAAGUUCAGCGACUCCCCGACUCGUGGGUCUGAGGACGCUGCCGAGCCUCGGUCCAGCCGGCCUCCUGUCUGUGGGUGUUUGAGUGCUGAGAGGUUUGUGGAUGCAUGUGAACAUGUCUGUGUUGAAACAGCAGCUUUGGACUCAAUAACACUGCUAAAAACCAAGAGCUCCCUUAUUUGUGACUUCCACUAAAAAACUGAUGAAAAUAAGUUUGCCAGGGUUCUGACUGAUAACAGGUUAUUAAAUAAUGAAAAUAA
Molecule: long non-coding RNA, 2552 nt
Organism: Amphiprion ocellaris (clown anemonefish)
Lineage: Eukaryota; Metazoa; Chordata; Actinopteri; Pomacentridae
Exons: 4
Source: RefSeq, a predicted model, not a curated record